CAAGUCGAGCGGUAGCACAGAGAGCUUGCUCUCGGGUGACGAGCGGCGGACGGGUGAGUAAUGUCUGGGAAACUGCCUGAUGGAGGGGGAUAACUACUGGAAACGGUAGCUAAUACCGCAUAACGUCGCAAGACCAAAGUGGGGGACCUUCGGGCCUCAUGCCAUCAGAUGUGCCCAGAUGGGAUUAGCUAGUAGGUGGGGUAACGGCUCACCUAGGCGACGAUCCCUAGCUGGUCUGAGAGGAUGACCAGCCACACUGGAACUGAGACACGGUCCAGACUCCUACGGGAGGCAGCAGUGGGGAAUAUUGCACAAUGGGCGCAAGCCUGAUGCAGCCAUGCCGCGUGUGUGAAGAAGGCCUUCGGGUUGUAAAGCACUUUCAGCGGGGAGGAAGGCGUUAAGGUUAAUAACCUUGGCGAUUGACGUUACCCGCAGAAGAAGCACCGGCUAACUCCGUGCCAGCAGCCGCGGUAAUACGGAGGGUGCAAGCGUUAAUCGGAAUUACUGGGCGUAAAGCGCACGCAGGCGGUCUGUCAAGUCGGAUGUGAAAUCCCCGGGCUCAACCUGGGAACUGCAUUCGAAACUGGCAGGCUAGAGUCUUGUAGAGGGGGGUAGAAUUCCAGGUGUAGCGGUGAAAUGCGUAGAGAUCUGGAGGAAUACCGGUGGCGAAGCGGCCCCCUGGACAAAGACUGACGCUCACGUGCGAAAGCGUGGGAGCAACAGGAUUAGAUACCCUGGUAGUCCACGCCGUAAACGAUGUCGAUUUGUAGA
Molecule: ribosomal RNA, 771 nt
Filed under: Klebsiella sp. enrichment culture clone FD-4
Lineage: Bacteria; Pseudomonadati; Pseudomonadota; Gammaproteobacteria; Enterobacterales; Enterobacteriaceae
Description: bacterial SSU rRNA
Rfam family: Bacterial small subunit ribosomal RNA
Source: RNAcentral